Molecule: ribosomal RNA, 253 nt
Filed under: uncultured bacterium
Lineage: Bacteria
Description: partial 16S ribosomal RNA
Rfam family: Bacterial small subunit ribosomal RNA
Source: RNAcentral
GACGUAGGGGACGAGCGUUGUCCGGAUUCAUUGGGCGUAAAGAGCGUGUAGGCGGUCAGGUAGGUCCGUUGUGAAAACUCGAGGCUCAACCUCGAGACGCCGAUGGAAACCAUCUGACUAGAGUCCGGAAGAGGAGAGUGGAAUUCCUGGUGUAGCGGUGAAAUGCGUAGAGAUCGGGAAGAAGGCCGGUGGCGAAGGCGGCUCUCUGGAACGUUCCUGACACUGAGGCACGAAAGCGCGGGGAGCAAACAGG